Mytilus trossulus (common blue mussel) is the source of this 12764-nucleotide long non-coding RNA. RefSeq lists it as uncharacterized. NCBI's taxonomy places the organism in Eukaryota, Metazoa, Mollusca, Bivalvia, Mytilida, Mytilidae. The transcript has 2 exons. The record is from RefSeq and is a predicted model, not a curated record.
UUAUUACUGCUUUUCAGUAUGGAUAGAGUUUUAGAAUGGUCAUUUGAACUGACAUUUAAGGUAAGAAAGAACCAUUGCAUAGGUAUAUAAACUUGUUAAUCACAGACUUAUAUGUAAAUGCUCUUUAAUUUUGUUUAAGUCUUUGACAUUUAAGCCAAAAGCUAGGCAUGUGGGUUUCAUAGAAGUCUAAGGUUGAAGUUGGAUUGGCUGGUUUUUUAUUAGCAUGACACAGGAAAGUCGAGGGUCUGGGAUAAGACGGAAAGUCAUCAUAUUUGGUCAAAUUGUUUUCCGUCAUCUGUGAUUGACCAUAAUGUACCACCAUUUUGAUUGACAAUUUUGAUAGAAGUAAUGAAAUUUUAAAUAUUAUGACCAUAAAACAACUUUUGAACACAACUCCUGUGAUCGAGACUCUUUUACAGAAAGCUCUUGUAUGUAAUUUGACUGUUUUUCUAUCAUGUAUAGUUAUAAAAUUUGGAGAUGUGCUAUGAUUGCUAAUGAGACAGCUAUCCACCAAAGUUCAAAUGAAGAGCAAUUAUUGUCACAUUGAUGUGUUCUCUGCAUCUUCUUUUACCUUAAAAUGUUGUAUAUCUUUUUUUAUAUAAUGUUCAUAAGUAUACCAACAGUGAUUCCUUUUUUACUAUUUUGAAUGACUAAGCAUUUAUUAUUUUUCAGGUUAGCAUUACAUUUGGCCUUACAGAUUGAUGUUGGAAAUGGCUAUUAGAGUUGACUUUUACAGAUAACAAUUACUGUGGCUGAAAGGAUAUAUAAUUAUGUGAUUAAUUACUCCUUAGAGAUGUUGUGAAGGUUAUUAAUAUGUUGACAGCUGGGGACUCUCUCUUCACAAGACAUCAGAUUUAAAAUCCCCAUUUUGACACUGGACAUGACUGCCAAUUUGUACAUCCUGCACUAUCAAACAGAUGCAUUACUUUUGCAAGGAUUUUACUGCCAGUCUGAAGAAGACCAAAAGUGACCAUAUUACCCUUUGGGGGCUUUCUAACACUAUGGAACAGUUUCCAAUAUGAACGGUUCAAUUCUUGCAUAAACAAGAGAAAGAAUGUAGUUGAUAAAUUCUAAAAUAAUGAUUGUAAAGAUUCUCCAUUUUCAACAAGAGUAGAAGUUUUAGUUAAGGUUAGUGUAUUGUGUUUUGAAUUUUCACUCGACUUUCUUUUUCUCUCUAUCGUUAAAUGCUAUGGAUUUUUUUUACUUGUGGCUCAACAGAUAAAAUGGUUCUUAUUAAGUUGACAUUUACAUUGGUUAAGAAUGGAGAAUCUAAGAAUAACAAAAAUAUUGUAAAUCUUUUUAGUAUAGCAAUGGUUUUAUAUGGAAAUCAAAAAUAGUAUUGUCAAAAUUGGAAUAAUGAUACAUUCAAGAGAUUACACAUAGCAAUAUAUAAGUAAUCCUUAUUUACUACCAGUCACAGCCAUUUCUUGACUAAAUAUCAAGCCUAUUGCUACAGGUACUCAACUCAGUUUUAAUGGAUCAUAAGAUCAACAGGGUCAAGGGGAGAUAAUGCACCUGUUCCAUGCCUCAUACUUUCUUUAGUGCACAGUUUACCAAUAUAACUUAGACAUUCUCUUCUGUAAUUUGAGCAAUAUGUUUAACAAAGCAUCCAUUAAACUUUUCAUGCAUUGAGUAUUCUAAGCAUCUUUGGCUGAUUUUUGACAAGUCCAAUAAACAGGAGAAUAUUGAUGAAACGCAUUACUUUCAGGGAAAGUAAAAUAAUAUAAUUUCUGUAAAAAAAAGUAAUUUGUGUACUAUAUGUACUUAAUGUAAUGUAAAAUUUUGUAUAUAAUGGAAUUACAGACCACCUUAACAUAUAAUUGUCCAUAUUUUAAGUUAGAGCCGAUAGACUUUUCUGUAAUUUUGAUAUAAUUUGUCCCAUAAGUAGUGCACUGCACCUUAAAAAACUGUUGAAACAAGUGUGAUUUUUUGGGUGUUUAUUGUCUUAAAGAAAUGCACCUUGAAAUAACUGUAUUUGGUCCUAAAAGAUGAGUUUAGUAAAUGUAGAUUCUGCAAAUUCCCUAAUCAGUAAAUGUAGAUUCUGCAAUUUCCCUGAGGAGCUAUGUACAUAAAAGUUGAAUGUACAUUGAAUUAGUUGAAUCCAAUCUUAAAGAGUUCACAUAGUCUGUAAAAAAAAAUCACUUAACAAAGAUUGGUGUACCUGUUUCCUUUCAUUUGAAAUGUUUUUCUUCUUCUGUAGGAUAGUUUGAGUGGUUCAAAUAAAUGGCUGUUGAGGAUAAAAUUACAUACAAGUUUUUUCAAUUUAAAUGAAAAUAAAAUUUGCCUCAGACUAUACUGUCAGAAAAAAAGGUUCAAUGCAAGGGUCUUAUUGCGCUCAGAAUUUUUGCAUCAUGUCAAUUAAGCAUAGAAAUUACCAAAGAGAAACAAAUUUCCCUUCCUAUAGCUUCUAUAUGCACUUUUAUAUGUAAAUAUGUGUUACGGCCUAAAUUGACCCCAACUUAUUUUUAGUCUUGCAUGGCCUAGGACCAUAUAUUAUAACUGUGUGGUAUGCUAUUUGUAACUUUUCAUUCCAGUUAAAGCACAUCAAAUAUAUAAGAAAGAGUUAUUUAUGGCAAGAUUGCUUUACAAAUUUUAAUUCGGUGGAAAAAAAAAUCACAUUUUUUUUAUAAGCAUCCCCCCCUCACCCUCAAUUUUCAUAAGUAAUUUAGUUGCUGUUUUCUAGAUUCCCUAGAAUAAUAUAUAUUUCACUUUCUAUUCUUUUUGUCUGAUAUUGUAUCAAAACACACUUUUGUCAUAUUCUCCGACUCUCCUCACUUUUUUGAAGCCAAAACUGAACAGAGUAUUUUAUCGCUAUAUUGUUGACCAUCAGAACUUCUCUUUUUAUUAUCCUUACAAAAAUACAAUGCUUUUCAAUUAAAGAUGACGUAAAUUUGCACUUUUAUUGACGAUUAUCCAGUCUCUGGAAUUCACGUGAACUACUUUUAGCAAAUGCAACACAGAUUUAGUUUCUUUGUAUUUUUUUAACAUGUUUGUACUAGAAUUAUAGUAUGCAGCUUUAAACUGUAAACUUUUGAAUUAAGAAAGAUUUUCACAAAAACAAAAGGGAAUUGUUUUACACCAUUUACACUUAGGUAUUUUAUAGCGGACUUAAGUAUGGGCUUUGCUCAUUGUUAAUAGCUGAACAUUGACAUAUAGUUGUUAAUUUCUGUGUCAUUUGGUCUCUUCUGGAGAGAUGUCCACUAAAAAAAAAUCCACAAAAAGAUAAGAUUGAUCUUUUAAAAGCAUAAUUAUGCCAUGGGAAUAAAUUUUUCAAGAGUAAACUUGACAACAUGUCAUCUCUAUAUGUUAAAAGCAAGUAAUUUAAAAUGACUGGAGCCACAUAUUUUUACAUCCAAGAUAAUAGGUAGAAAAUUUAUUUUCUGCUGCCCUGUAAACUAGAAAUAGCGAGAACACUGGAGGAAACUCUCAGUGAUGAGCAAAAUUAUUCUGUGUUCCAUGUGUGCUUUGCAGUUUUAUUUACACCUAAAAGUGUUAAAAAUUAAGAAUUUGACAGAUAUUUUAAGAAAUCUUUUAUAGUGAAAAUGCAAAACCCCAAAUGGCUAUCAUUGUUGUCCAUGUAAAUAAUUAUUCAUUUAAACCUAAAGCCAGAUAACAAUUUCUGGCACAUCACUUUAUUUUUUGAGAUCUAUUUGAAUUAGGAUAGGUAAAUUAAUAAGCUACUAGGUAGUAAACUGUAUCAGAAGAAAAUUACUGAUCAUCAUGAACAAAUGCCGGUAGUCUAUAUCAAAUGUUUACGUUUUUUUUAUUCUUAUGUUCAAGGGGUAGGAUUCACUGUAAGAACCACUAUUCUGUCAAGGACCUUGUCUUUAGGCAUUUCUCUUUUUAUGUAUUAAGGCAUAUAUAAAAAAGGGGGUAUAUUAUUGCUAAUUAAGUGACAUUUCUGUAUUUCUUAUUGCAUUAUGUUGCCCAAAUCUCCAUAAAAUAUCAAAAUUAGGUAAAAUCAAGAGGCUCUAGAUUUUCUUAGUAACGUCAAAUUGAAUUUUCUGUUCACGGUUCACAUAAAACACAUAACAGCUAUGAUGAAAUCUUAAUUUCAGCCUUUUCAUAUUUCUUAUAAUUUUGUUUUGAUCAAACAUUGGUGACAAACAUAUAUAAAUUAGAGUUAUCAAAUCAUCAGCUUCAAGUCUUAAAAUAGACCUAAAUCAAACUUGAUUUAUCAAACACCUUGUUUUAAACUUAGCAGAACAGUUAAUAUGCUGGUCAAUGCCCAAUGUCCUCUGCAAAAUAGGAUAACUGUAAAGAAAGUCAUUAAAUGAUGAACAAUUGUUUCUUUGAUCCAUAAAUUGAAUAUAAAAAGUAGGGGUAUACAGUAAUCAACAAAUGCAAAGGAUAUCUGAUUUUAUUUCAGAAAAAGUCUGUAAAAUGGCUUUCAUUUUUAUGAUUGAAAAAAUAAGGGGGUAUAAAAGGGGAGAUAAUUUUGACAUAGUAGAAAUUAAAAUUGAAAUCAAAAGUAGUAGUUUGAUAUGAUAAUUUCCAUAUUAUUUCCCAAAACAGCAUGCUUAAGCUAGGUUCAUUUUGAAUGGAAAAUUUAUAAAAUAGUCUAAAUUUUGAGUUAUUGUUAAAUUAAAAAAUGAAUGAGAGGUUUCCUUAUUUUGAUGUUAACUUGAUCUUUUAAGAAAUUUGUUUUAUGCAUCAAUGGUUCUUGCAUAAGUAAUUCAAUAAGUAAAUUCAUGGUUUCCAAUUUCUUUUGAAAUUGAUUGCAUAUAAGAAAGACAAUUUUUGGUUCCUAUGGCACCUCAUAAGUAUUAAAAUAACAGAAGAGUACAAAAUUCUCAAGUGAAAAUGUGCACCUCACAAUUUGUCACCAUAAGAAGAAAUUAUAAAUAGAGAAUGAAAGUAGGUAUGAAAGUAAACUGGAUCAAGAAUGUUAAAUAAAAUAUGUUUUUGCAAAUUUGGACGACAAUUAAUUGCAAUUAUGUACCAUUUCAACAAUAGAAGUAGUGUAGACUUGCAAAUCCAUACCAUUACAACACUGGAAGUAGUAUGGUUGUCUGAGCGAAGCCAAUUGGAAGUACGUACCUCUUAGUGAAGCUAAUUGGGAGCACACCCUCUGUCUUGUUGCGAAGCUAAUUGGAAGCAGUACAUAUACACCUCUGUCUGCAAAAACUAAUUAGAAGCAGUACCCCUGGCAGUGCGGACCCAAUUAGAAGCAUGUAACUCUGAGGGAAGCCAAUUGGAAGCAUGUACCUCUGCAAAAUUUGAUUAAACAUUAUUCAACAAAUUUUAUUUAACAUUGUUUUUAAAGUUUUUUUUCUUACCAACUCUCAUUUUCUAUUUAUAAUUACUCCCCUUGUUGACAUUGUGACAUGCAAAUUAUCACUUCACCAUUUUGUACUCGCCUGUGGUUUUUAUCCUGAUGAUGAUGCACUAGAAACAGAAACACAUACAUUUAAAUUACUACAGCACACCCUCAAGUAUUAAGGGCCAAAUUUUUUAAAGUCAAAGGUGCAUAAUUUUAGUGUAUGCACCUUUAAAUGAUAACUUAACUUAACUUACUGCAACAUUUUGACAGCCUAGGUUCCUCAAGAUUUAUAGGGAGGCUGAUAUAAGUUUGCUGAUAUAAUGAAAACAUGAAAAGGAAUUAUUUUAAAAUAAUUGUCAAUUCACAAAUUUAACUAAAAAUAUUCUUAAUAUAUAGAGAAUAUAUUCCAUUUUUCUUUUUUUCCAAAACUCUGCUAGUGUUUAUCUUUUAAAACAAAAAAGUAUAUUUUUCCAUUAGAGGGAAAUGCUAAGAAACAGAAAUGUCUUACAAUUUUACCCCAUUUUUCUAUUAAAGUAGCACAUGAAAGUUUAUUUAUUAUUACCUAUUUUAAUUGACUAGGUGAAUAAAUAGCUUGUUAGCACAGUAAUAUAAAACUUUGGGUGUUUUAUUUUCAAUAAAUUUUAUUUAUAUGUAAAAUACAAUAAAUUAAUUUUUAUGCCCCACCUACGUAGUAGAGGGGCAUUAUGUUUUCUGGUCUGUGCGUCCGUUCGCCCAUUUGUCUGUUCAUUCAUUUGUCUGUUUAUCCGUUCGUCCGUCUGUCCUGCUUUAGGUUUAAUUUAGUUUUUGAUGUGGUUGAAGUCCAUUCAACUUGAAAUUUUAUACACAUGCUCCCCAUGAUAUGAUCUUCUAAUUUUAAUGCCAAAUUAAAGUUUUGAUCCGAAUUUUACGGUCCACUGAACAUUGAAAAUUAUAUUGUGAGUGGGGCAUCUGUGUACAAUGGACACAUUCUUGUUUUACGUUAAACUGUCACAGUAUGGGGUAGAAUCUGGUUCUUAAGUUAAUGAAUUCAUAAGAACAGACUCUGUAAGCAUAUCAGUUCUUUAAUUAAUAUUUGUGGUCUCAAAAAAUCAUGAUAUCUUUGAAAAUAAAAUAACUACUCAUGGCACCAAAUAGAUUUUACUUUUAUUUUGUUAUGAAGUAGUUUAAGUGAAACAGGAAACCCUUAUUAUUUCUUUAAACAGUUUUGAAUUAUGAACCUCAAAAAUACUUUACAAAUUUGGUUUUAAUAAAUGAAGAAAAAAGUAGUGAUAAUUUUCAGUUUAAAUUCAAUUUGUAGAUUUGACAUGAUAAAUUACGCAUUUUUUUUAAUUUUUCAAAACAAACUCCCUAGUAAGCUUUAGAUGAAGAAAAUCAAAGGAUUAUUAAUUUUAGAAUAAAUUCAAAGUUUUCCCAUGUUUAUUAUAGCUGCAUACUAGGAAUUGGUAUUUGUUUACUUGACAAAAGAGGAUUUUUAUUUUAAGUCUUCCUGUCGGGUAUUAAAAAAUGGAUUUCCUGAAAGUUGGAUUUGAGGCUUAAACUUCUUUUCUUACACUAUUGAACCCCAAACCAAAAAGAUACACUAGUUUUUCUCUGCCAAUUAAAAGUGGUGUGUUUAAAAACAACUAAAAAAGAUUUGCUAUUUCAGUUAUUGUUUGGAUAUAAAAUAUUCUUUUACUUUGAUAGAAACAGAAAUCAUCAAAAAUUCAAUAUCUCAAAACGGACAUCAUAAGGACUCCCCUGUGAGGAUGUGGGAGCCCUACAAUUUUUACUUUGUUCGUAAAUGCAAAAUCUCCAAAAAAUUUAGAUAGUAAACUUGAUCAAGAAUGUUGAAUAAAAUAUGUUCUGCAAAUUUGGAUGACAAUUAAUUGCAAUUAUGUACCAUUUCAACAAUAGAAGUAGUAUAGACUUGCAAAUCCAUACCAUUACAACACUGGAAGUAGUAUGGUUGUCUGAGCGAAGCCAAUUGGAAGUAUGUACCUCUUAGUGAAGCUAAUUGGGAGCACACCCUCUGUCUUGUUGCGAAGCUGAUUGGAAGCAGUACAUAUAUACCUCUGUCUGCAAAAACUAAUUAGAAGCAGUACCCCUGGCAGAGCGGUCCCAAUUAGAAGCAUGUAACUCUGAGGGAAGCCAAUUGGAAGCAUGUACCUCUGCAAAAUUUGAUUAAACAUUAUUCAACAAAUUUUAUUUAACAUUCUUUUCAUUAAAGUUUGAUUUCAGACCAACUCUCAUUUUCUAUUUAUAAUUACUCCCCUUGUUGACAUUGUGACAUGCAAAUUAUCACUUCACCAUUUUGUACUCUCCUGUGGUUUUUAUCCUGUUGAAAAUGCACUAGAAACCGAAACACAUGCAUUUAAAUUAUUACAGCACACCAUCAUUCAGACUGAUUCAACUUGAAAAUUAGUUCAUGAACCCCUCUUUUUUUAAAAUGACAUUAGGUUGAAAAUGUAUCAAGAUUAUUUGUGCCAAUUUACCAAAUCUUUCAAAUAAGAUAAAUAUUCAGCCAAAAAUGAUGUGCUUUUUCCUUUACUAAAAUCUGGUCUUUAAGAUCAUUUUUGCCAAUUUGAAGAAAUUCCCAAUGAUAUAUUUUAAAUUAGAUAAUUUAAACAUCCAAAAAUGACGUAUUUAUUUUACUUAAAUAAUGAAAACAUGAAAAUUAAUUAUUUUAAAAGAAUUGUCCAUUCGCAAAUUUAACUCAUAAUACUCUUAAUGUGUAGAGUUGAUAUUACAUUUUUUUCCCCCAGACUUCUCUUGUGUUUAUCUUUUAAAACAAAAAAGUUAAGUAUAUUGUCUGUUUGCCCAUUUGUCUGUUCAUUCGUUCAUCUGUUCAUCCGUCUGUCCCACUUAUAAGUUUUUGGUCAAGGUAGUUUUUGAUGUAGUUGAAGACCAAUCAACUUGAAACUUAGUACCGCUGGUCCCAAAUGAUGUAAUCUUUCAAAUUUAAACGCCAAAUUAAAGUUUUCACCCCAAUUUCACCAGCCACGGAACAUAGAAAAUGGAAGUGCAAAGUUCAGGUUAAGUUUUUGGUCGAGGUAGUUUUUGAUGAAGUUGAAGUCCAUUUAACUUCAAAUUAGCACACAUGCUCCUCAUGAUAUGAUCUUUCUAAUUUUAAUGCCAAAUUAAAGUUUUGAUCCCAAUUUCACGAUCCACUUAAGUUAAUGAAUUCAUAAGAACAGACUCUGUAAGCAUAUCAGUUUGUUAAUUAAUAUUUGUGGUCUUGAAAAAUCAUAUCUUUGAAAAUAAAAUAAUUGCUCAUGACACCAAAUAUAUUUUACUAGAAAUUAUUUUGUUAUGAAGUAGUUUAAGUGAAAAUGGAAACCCUUAUUAUUUCUUUGAACAGUUUUGAAUUAUGAACCUCAUAAAAACUUUACAAAUUUGAUUUUAAUAAAUGAAGAGAACAGUUGUGAUUAUUUUCAGUUUAAAUUCAAAUUGUAGAUUUGACAUGAUGAAUUACGAAAUUUGUUAUUUUUCUAAACAACUCCCCAGUAAGCUUUAGAAAAGAAAAUCUUGAAAAAGAAAAAGAAAAAAAGUGUUCUGUCAGUGAAAGGAUUAAUUAUUUUAGAAUGAAUUUAAAGUUUUCCAAUGUUUAUAGCUGCAUACUAGGAAUUGGUAUUUGUUUACUUGACAAAAGAGGAUUUUUAUUUUAAGUCUUCCCGUCAGGUAUUAAAAAAUGGAUUUCCUGAAAGUUGGAUUUGAGGCUUAAACUUCUUUUCUUUACACUAUUGAACCCCAAACCAAAAAAUUACACUAGUUUUUUCUGCCAAUUAAAAGUGGUGUGUUUACAAACAACUAAAAAAGAUUUGCUAUUUCAGUUAUUGUUUGGAUAUAAAAUAUUCUUUUACUUUGAUAGAAACAGAAAUCAUCAAAAAUUCAAUAUCUCAAAACGGACAUCAUAAGGACUCCCCUGUGAGGAUGUGGGAGCCCUGCAAUUUUUACUUUGUUCGUUGGUCUACAAUUUUGGAAAUGCAAAAUCUCCAAAAAUAUAGAUAGUAAACUUGAUCAAGAAUGUUGAAUAAAAUAUGUUCUGCAAAUUUGGACGACAAUUAAUUGCAAUUAUGUACCAUUUCAACAAUAGAAGUAGUAUAGACUUGCAAAUCCAUACCAUUACAACACUGGAAGUAGUAUGGUUGUCUGAGCGAAGCCAAUUGGAAGUAUGUACCUCUUAGUGAAGCUAAUUGGGAGCACACCCUCUGUCUUGUUGCGAAGCUGAUUGGAAGCAGUACAUAUAUACCUCUGUCUGCAAAAACUAAUUAGAAGUAGUACCCCUGGCAGAGCGGUCCCAAUUAGAAGCAUGUAACUCUGAGGGAAGCCAAUUGGAAGCAUGUACCUCUGCAAAAUUUUAUUAAAAAUCAUUUAACAAAUUUUAUUUAACAUUCUUUUCAUUAAAGUUUGAUUUCAUACCAACUCUCAUUUUCUAUUUAUAAUUACUCCCCUUGUUGACAUUGUGACAUGCAAAUUAUCACUUCACCAUUUUGUACUGUGGUUUUUAUCCUGAUGAAAAUGCACUAAAAACAAAAACGCAUACAUUUAAAUUACUACAGCACACCCUGUAUAAUUAAGGGCCAAAUUUUUUAAAGUCAAAGGUGCAUAAUUUUAGUUUAUGCACCUUUAAAUGAUAAGUUAAAAUAACUUACUGUAACUUUUUGAAAGCCAAGGUUACUCAAGAUUUAUAGGGAGGCUGAUAUAAGUUUGCUGUCAAGGCCAUCAUGAUACAGUAACAGCGUAAUGAUGUCGCUAAUGUCAGAUGUUACUUUUCGCCAUGUCAAAUAGUUACGUAUUAAGAAAAGAUUCAUUCUUUGACUGAUUUUUAUCAUUUAGACUGAUUUAACUUGAAAAUUAGUUCAUGAACCCCUCUUUUUAAAAAUGGCAUUAGGCUUGAAAAUGUAUCAAGAUAAUUUGUGCAAAUUUGAAGAAAACACCAAUGGAAACUUUUAAAUAAGAUAAAUAUACAGCCAAAAAUGAUAUGUCUUUUCUUUUACUAAAAUCCGUUAUUGCUUGGAUAAAUGCAAAAUCUCCAAAAAUAUAGAUGGGUAUAUUUUUCACAGUUAUUGUGAUGUGCAUCAUAUGUCAAUAUGUGCAUAUUAUUUUUUGGUGGGGAAAAAGAAAUCAAAAUUUUUGAGAAACAUUCUUUUAAAAAUAAAUUGCCAAUGUGAAAGGAUUAGGUUCCAUAAGUGCCCUUAAUGACUCUUAAGAUGAAAAUUGUUUUUAGUUGAUGCUUAUGUGCCAAAAAGGGAAAUACUAUUUGCCAAUAGCAUCCUAAUUAUGUUGAAAAUAGUUUUUUUUUGUAAAAGUUAAUUUCAACCACAAUGAGGCCAAGGAAAUAAAGAGAUUAGGGUUCCACAAGUCUAUAAUUCAUUUGUUAUAAGAAACACAAACUGUAGAAGUAGGUUUUGUUGAUGCAUUGAAACCCUAUUUAAUGUAUAGCUUUGUUUGUAUUGUAUCGGAAUUAUUUAUUUGCUUAUGUGACAUGUGCCACACAAAAUAUGCUUGCCCAGCCUGAAAUUGUCAUUUUUCUAGCUUUUUUCCAAAAAACAGACUGAGUGCUUUUUUUUUCUUUAUCUUUAUUCUCAUAAAGCCAAUGCAUAACAUCGGUACAGAGAUAACAAAUACAACAAUAAAUAUUUACAAUAUGUACAAAACAAGCGAGAGAGGUUACAAAAGUUACAAGCCAGGAGUACAAACACUAGUAUUUAUAUUUUUUGCUGGAAAUGCAGCAAAUAAGAAUGAAUCAAUAAUACUGCAAUGUAUUUUGUACAAAUAGUAUUUUCCUAAUGAAACCUAAGUGACCUUAUCCUUGGUGUAAUUAAAUCCUUUUCUUCCUUUGAAUUGUAAGAUGAUAUACUACAGUGACAAAAAAACUACAGUGGCAAAAAAUGUAGUUGCUAUUUGAUUUUUUUUUCAAUUUAGUGGAAGCAGAUUAGUUGUUAUUUAGAUAUUUUGUAGCAUGAUGUAUCAUAAUUAAAUUUUGCUUGUGUUCCAUAGAAUUAUGGUGAAAAAUAUUUUUGAAAACCUUCACUUUCUACCCAGAGUGUCAAGUUUCUUUUUAUAUACUCUAAAUUAUAUAUUUGCACAUGAUCGUGUAUUUUGUUUUGAUUUAUAGUUCUCCUUUUCUUUUAUACUGUCAAAAGUAUACCUCCUUACACAGUUCCUCCAAGCAAUUAGUUAUAAAGCAUGUUUCAAACAUUUUCCACUAUAUAUUCGACCAUUUAAUCUCGUUUUAAAUACUGUUUACAAGUUAUUAUAUAUUUUUCGGUAUAGCAUUUCGCAGUAUAGCCAAAAAAUACUGCCUUAAAUUUUCUAUCAUAUUUUGUAUGGGUCAAUGAUGUAUGAUUUGAUCAUUCAGGUGACCUAAUGUUUUGUUAUGCUAAUUUGUUUUUCGUGAGUUUGUGAAAAAAAUGUCUAGGUGGUCAUUCUAGUCGCAGACAUUGACAGUUAGCUAAAACUUCCUUUUAUGUAUAAAAAUUUGUCUUUUUAUAUAAUUAUAAUCAUGAUGGAGUACGGCAUCAUUACCCAGAAACGGUUCUUGCAUUGCUCCGUGCGCAGGUUUCCAAACUUUAAAAGUUGGUUUUUCCUGGGCGGCGAGUGUCUGUUAAUGACGGGUAUUUAAAAUAUGAUAUUUAAUGUUUGGAAUGUUCUUGAAUGUUAAUAGAUUUAUUACUAUUGUUGCUGGAAGUAUAUUUUUUUGUUUAAGUUGUGUUUAAACUACUUAUUAGUAUAUAUAUACUAUUACUGUGUUAUAUGAUGUUUGCAUAUGUAUAUUAGAUUAUUGUAUUUUAUUGCAUUACAAAUUUGAUUGAAUGCUGGCUCCAGUCUGUCUGCACUGCAAAAUGCAUAUUUGAGUUGAGUCUAAUUUAGUUUGUGAAAUUUAUUGUGUAGUUAGGACCAUUAAUUAUCAUUAUAAUGAUUUUCUUUAUGUGUAUAUGUUUAUGCUUAUGAGUUGAAUUCAUGUAUAUUGUAUGUAAUAAUUCCCUAGGCAUAAAAAUUGAUUGUCUUCUUGCAUAUGUGUAAUACAUGUACAUGUAGGGGUAGGAAUUUUAGCACCAAUAAAUUUGGAUUGUUAAGUGACAUCUUAAUGUAUUUAGUUCUAACCUGAACUUUAAACAUUGUAUUUUUUUAAAGAACAAAGAUUUGCAUAAUUUUGCAUUUGGAUAUUACAUUAAUUUUGACUUUUGUAACAAAUAUUUUAUAGCUGUAGUCCUAAUCAAGGAUUUAUAUAGUAGCAUCUUACUAUACAAAUCCUUGUCCUGAUGAUAAGAUUUCUUUUUUACUUACACAUUUACAAACAAAAUUAUGUUUCCCCAGUGAGGUCCAACACUAGAGUUUCUCUCGCAUUGACAAAUAUAGUUUGUAUAGUUAUUCAAAUGCAUAAGGUUCACAUUAGAUUAUUUUUCUAGUACCUGUACAAGUUAUUGAAUUCAUAUUGUAUAGUGUGUUUAUAUUGAUAAUUUGUCUUAUUAAAUGGCAGUUCACAAUAUGCUGUACUCGAGCUAGUCAACAAACAUAA